RNAcentral lists this ribosomal RNA (497 nucleotides) under uncultured bacterium. RNAcentral's name for it is "partial 16S ribosomal RNA". It matches the Rfam family "Bacterial small subunit ribosomal RNA", at positions 28 to 507 of the family's 1533-position model. The record is from RNAcentral.
GAUGAACGCUGGCGGCGUGCCUAACACAUGCAAGUCGAGCGGAAAGACGAGGCGCUUUCCCGCUUGACGUUCGCGGCGCGGGGGUGUGUAACAUGUGGAUAACACACCUCGAUGGCUGGGAUAAACUCGGGAAACCGGUGGCAAAUCCCGCAUAUCUACUCAAGCGCAAGGUUGAAUAGCGAAAGGCGGCUUUGCUGUCACUUAUAGAUGGUUCCUUGCCGCAUUAGCUAGUUGGAAAGGUAACGGCUUACCAAGGCAACGAUGCGUAGCCGACCUGAGAGGGUGACCGGCCACACUGGAACUGAGACACGGUCCAGACUCCUACGGGAGGCAGCAGUGGGGAAUCUUCCGCAAUGGGCGCAAGCCUGAUGCAGCAACGCCGCGUGUGUGAUGAAGGUCUUCGGAUCGUAAAGCUCUGUUAUUGGGGAAGAACAAAUUUGUAUGUAACCAUGCACGUCUUGACGUUACCUGAUCAGAAAGCCCCGGCUAACUACGUG